CGGGGUGAGUAACGCGUGGGUAACCUGCCUCAUACAGGGGGAUAACAGUUAGAAAUGACUGCUAAUACCGCAUAAGCGCACAGUACCGCAUGGUACAGUGUGAAAAACUCCGGUGGUAUGAGAUGGACCCGCGUCUGAUUAGCUGGUUGGUGAGGUAACGGCCCACCAAGGCGACGAUCAGUAGCCGACCUGAGAGGGUGACCGGCCACAUUGGGACUGAGACACGGCCCAG
This 232-nucleotide ribosomal RNA is filed under the name uncultured bacterium. RNAcentral's name for it is "partial 16S ribosomal RNA". It matches the Rfam family "Bacterial small subunit ribosomal RNA", at positions 104 to 334 of the family's 1533-position model. The record is from RNAcentral.